UGGGGCUUGAAUUCACAACCCCGAGAUUAAGGGUCAUAUGCUCUAUGACUGAGCCAGCCAGGAGCCCUUCUGCUUGUAUUACGAUUAUUGCUGCCUAGUUCCCAUCUAUAGCCAUCCCACUCCUGAAGCACCACACUGAUCACAAAGCCUUCCCAACCGAGAAUCCCCCUGCAGAACCAAUCCCAUGAGAGACGUCCGGUCAGUCCUGCUCAGCCUGCACCUCUCACCAAGAUUCCUCGCACAGCCAAGACCUUUGCCAGAAAGCUGCUGAAUGAAGGAAAUCAGAAUGGUGAUGAUUCUCCCACCCCAAGAUGUUCCCAUCUUGAAGGGAGGGAAAGAGGAGACAACGAGAGACUGAUCUGCACUGUGGACUAAGAGACUGAACACCCAGGCAGUGGCCAGAGCAGAUGGAAAAACAGAAUUCCGACCCAUGACCUGCAGAAACCUGCCCAGCAGACCAACUCUUCAUCCAACAAGAAAACACCCAGGCUAUCCAUAGGUCACAUCUGUAAGAGGACUAUCUCUACUUAAAAUUCAGAAAGCGAAACGUGAACUUUCUGUAACAAUUGGCUCAAAAUGGCCAGAACGGACAACUUCCCCAAGUUUUGUCCACAUUGCAACUUAGAGCCAAACAAUGUGGAAGACAGUAAAUGGCCAAAUAACGCACCCCCAACCAGUCACACAGGACGCCUGGCUUCUAGAUACCUGCCUUUACAGCUUCCCCAGGCGGACAGCCUACAGAGAAGGCACAUCGGAAUCCUUCCCUUUUUCCUGCUAUAAAUAAAGCUUUCCCACCCCUCUGCCUGACCUUCAGUCUCUUUGAGAACAAGUGACCAUGGCUGACUGACCCCCUUGAUGUAGCAAGCUCUGAAUAAAUAGCCUUUGCUCUU
Molecule: long non-coding RNA, 890 nt
Organism: Lontra canadensis (Northern American river otter)
Lineage: Eukaryota; Metazoa; Chordata; Mammalia; Carnivora; Mustelidae
Exons: 2
Source: RefSeq, a predicted model, not a curated record